Molecule: long non-coding RNA, 239 nt
Filed under: Hordeum vulgare
Lineage: Eukaryota; Viridiplantae; Streptophyta; Magnoliopsida; Poales; Poaceae
Description: long non-coding RNA (HVUL_LNC018540)
Source: RNAcentral
CCCUAAUCACUCUAAAACCCUAUCUGUCCAGAAUCAAAUUUGAGCAACUCUACAUUGUGAAGUGUCUCCAAUUGUGCUCAAAUUUGGUGGACAUUUUCCAGUACUCCAAUGAGGCAUCCACACCAAGUGGUACACCAAGGAGAAUUGAGGAACUUGUCCUAAAACCCUCAAAACCCUCUUUGUUGAUUUCUGACUUUGACAAACUUUACAUUAUAAAGUUUGUCCAAUUGACCUCAAAC